AACGCGAAGAACCUUACCAGGGCUUGACAUGGGCAAGACGCGUCCAGAGAUGGGCGUUCCCGCAAGGGCUUGCCGCACAGGUGCUGCAUGGCUGUCGUCAGCUCGUGUCGUGAGAUGUUGGGUUAAGUCCCGCAACGAGCGCAACCCUCGCCUUCAGUUGCCAUCGGGUUUGGCUGGGCACUCUGAAGGAACUGCCGGUGACAAGCCGGAGGAAGGUGGGGAUGACGUCAAGUCCUCAUGGCCCUUAUGUCCUGGGCUACACACGUGCUACAAUGGCGGUGACAGCGGGAUGCUAGGUCGCGAGGCCAAGCCGAUCCCAAAAAGCCGUCUCAGUUCAGAUUGCACUCUGCAACUCGGGUGCAUGAAGGUGGAAUCGCUAGUAAUCGCGGAUCAGCACGCCGCGGUGAAUACGUUCCCGGGCCUUGUACACACCGGAGUA
RNAcentral lists this ribosomal RNA (439 nucleotides) under uncultured bacterium. Its description in RNAcentral is "bacterial SSU rRNA". It matches the Rfam family "Bacterial small subunit ribosomal RNA", at positions 958 to 1398 of the family's 1533-position model. The record is from RNAcentral.